GGGGAUGUGGCUCAAUGGUAGAGUGCUUGCCUCACAUGCAUGAAGUUUUGGGUUCAAUUCCUCAGUACCA
Dipodomys ordii (Ord's kangaroo rat) is the source of this 70-nucleotide non-coding RNA. NCBI's taxonomy places the organism in Eukaryota, Metazoa, Chordata, Mammalia, Rodentia, Heteromyidae. The record is from Rfam.